Molecule: ribosomal RNA, 1686 nt
Filed under: Clavulinopsis fusiformis
Lineage: Eukaryota; Fungi; Basidiomycota; Agaricomycetes; Agaricales; Clavariaceae
Description: partial small subunit ribosomal RNA
Rfam family: Bacterial small subunit ribosomal RNA (bases 1235-1686)
Source: RNAcentral
CUCGAKGCAUGACUAGCUAACUGAAAUCAUGAAAUGAUUUUAAAAAAUUAAUUUCAUAAUAAUGUAAGAGAAAAUAAUGAUAUUAUCUUACUAUUAGUGUUGUCAAAAGCUGUUAAGUGUUUUAGGAAAACAUUAUUACGGCUAAAACUAUCAAACUCCGGGGACUCCUUAAAGCCUAUAGUACCAAACUAUAUUUGAAAAUAUAUAAGUGGCUGAAUUAAUUACUCAGGUAUGGUAACAAGCUAUAAGAUGAAUGAAAAUGAAAUAGGAUAUCGCGGAUCUAAAUCAGAUAUAAUUCAAAACCCACACAAAAUUGAAUUUUCUGUAAAAGAGCAACGAGUAGACGGUAGUUGGUUUCUAAAAAAAAUAAACAUAGCUGUACCAUUUAGAAACUUAAGGUGUACUCUAAUGGAUUUCGAAAGAAAUUAUCAAAUCAAAAUCCUUUCUAAACAAUUAAAUAAAUUAUUUUAUUCUACAGUUAAUAAUAUUAAACUUAAUCCUUGAUUUGUAACAGGUUUUAUAGAUGCUGAAGGUUGUUUUUGUAUACAAUUUAUAAAAAUAAAAAGCUUAAAACUGGUUGACGAAUUGUUAUCUUAUUUUGAAAUAGGAUUAAUCCAAAAGAUAAUUUAUUAUUAUAYCMAUUACAAAAUUUUUUUUGGARGAAUAGGUCCCUAAGGUUAGAAUAAAAAAUCUAAUGCCUUAAAGUUUUCCGUGGCUGAUAUUAAAGAAUUAAAUAUAUAUAUCCUCMCUUAAAAAAUUCCCCUAUUAMCUCAAAAAUUUAUUAUCCUKAACAGACCAUAUUAUAACAGGUWWCUUGUCCCUUAUGAGUUUCAGAUUGUAUCAGGAUGGAMUUUGACGUGGUAUAGACCAUUAACAAUUAAAUUGGAUUUAAAGUAUAUUUAGACUUGGAUUAACACAACAUCAMGAGUUAUUAAUUAUUAGAGUUAUUAAUAAAUUAUUUAGUGCAGGUAGACUUGAAAAUAWUCUGGAAGCUUCUGUUAUAAAUUUAGUCAUUGGUAAUUUUCAGACUUAAAAACAAAAAUUAUACCAUUUUUUAACAAAUAUCUUAUUCAAGGAAUAAAGGCAUUUAGGAUUAUUUAGAUUGAUGUAAAAUUGGCUAAUCUAAUAAAUUUAAAGUCUCAUCUAACAAUUGAAGGUAUAGAUGAAAUUAUAAAAAUUAAGUCGAUAAUGAAUAAAGGAAGAAAAACAUAAAAUAUUUAAUUGCAUGAUAAAUUUGAUGAACCAUGGGUGCCAGAAGACUCGGUAAGACCAGAAACGCAAACGUUAGUCAUCUUAAUCAGGCGUAAAGGGUUUUUAGGCAGCUUUAACAAUUUAUAAUUUUUAAUAGCUCUAAUUAAAGUUUUUAAUUAGUAAAAUUUAAAUCAAUUAAAGCUAGAAUCAAAAAGAAGUUAAGUAAAUAAUACUUAGAGUAAGCGACAAUGUGAUAAAUACUAGGUAGAAUACUAAAGGCGAAAGCUUUUUUUCUAAUAAAUGAUUGACGCUGAGAAACGAAGGUGUGGGUAACAAAAAGGAUUAGAGACCCUCAGCAGUCCACACUGUCAACGAUGAAUGGUAGUCUGUCAAUUUAAAGUAAAUUGGUGGCAAAGCUAACGCGUUAACCAUUCCGCCUUGCGAGUACGGUUGCAAAACUGAAACCAAAAAAAUUAGUCGGUCUCGAWUCAAACG